This 467-nucleotide ribosomal RNA is filed under the name uncultured bacterium. Its description in RNAcentral is "partial 16S ribosomal RNA". It matches the Rfam family "Bacterial small subunit ribosomal RNA", at positions 29 to 507 of the family's 1533-position model. The record is from RNAcentral.
ACGAACGCUGGCGGCGUGCUUAACACAUGCAAGUCGAACGGAAAGGCCCUGCUUUUGUGGGGUGCUCGAGUGGCGAACGGGUUAUUAACACGUUAGUAACCUGCCCUUGUCUUUUGUAUAACUUCAGGAAACUUGGGCUAAUACCGGAUAGGAGCUCCUGCUGCAUGGUGGUGGUUGGAAAGUUUCGGCUGUUGGGGAUGGACUCGCGGCUUAUCAGCUUGUUGGUGGGGUAGUGGCUUACCAAGGCUUUGACGGGUAGCCGGCCUGAGAGGGUGAACGGCCACAUUGGGACUGAGAUAAGGCCCAGACUCCUACGGGAGGCAGCAGUGGGGAAUAUUGCACAAUGGGCGGAAGCCUGAUGCAGCAACGCCGCGUGCGGGAUGACGGCCUUCGGGUUGUAAACCGCUUUCGCCUGUGACGAAGCGUGAGUGACGGUAAUGGGUAAAGAAGCACCGGCUAACUACGUG